Molecule: long non-coding RNA, 681 nt
Filed under: Fukomys damarensis (Damara mole-rat)
Lineage: Eukaryota; Metazoa; Chordata; Mammalia; Rodentia; Bathyergidae
Description: lncRNA (ENSFDAG00000027823.1)
Source: RNAcentral
GAGAAAGGCAGAGAAAAACAGGAGAGGAGAAAGAUUUGGGUGUGUGCCUGAACACGCGCUCGCGCGCGUUCACGCACACACACACCCGCACAUGCACACACACAUGGUCCAGCGGUAAUCUCUAGCCAGAGUAAAUGCUCAAUAAAUGCUAAUUUCUCUUCCUCUUGAGCAUCAGAGACCAGAGACUCGACGACCACCGCUAAUCCUCGCCAUGGUCAUCAGCAGCGAGGGGGGCAUCAGGGACUUAUGCCUGUUGAGUCUGUUGUCUCUGAUAAAUGUGUCAUUUUCAGGGUUUGGCCUACAACAAUGAGGCGGUGCCAGCAGAGGUGGGUGAGCUGCAGAGAGAUCUGCACAGUCCCCUCCAGCAAGUGCUGAGAGCCGGAGGUGAGCUGCACAUGUCCUGCUGCUGUGUUCACAUGGCCUACGGUGGCUGCUAUCAGAAGACACCCCUGCCCGGGCUGUGUACCAGGCACAUCUAUUCUCUCAGCUCUGGAGGUGGGGAAGGCCAAGAUCAAGGUGCAGCAGGUUGAGUGUCUGGUGAGUUCCUCUUCGUAGCUCACAACAGAGACUUGUUACUGUGCCCUCACACAGUGGAAGGCCGGAGGGCCUUUCUCCUGGUCCCUUUCUAGAACUGAGUGCUGAUUUCACUCGUGAAGGUUCCAUCCUCAAGAUUUAACUCCC